RNAcentral lists this non-coding RNA (985 nucleotides) under Anhinga anhinga (American anhinga). Its description in RNAcentral is "12S ribosomal RNA". It matches the Rfam family "Bacterial small subunit ribosomal RNA". Lineage: Eukaryota; Metazoa; Chordata; Aves; Suliformes; Anhingidae. The record is from RNAcentral.
AAAAGACUCAGUCCUAACCUUACUGUUAGUUUUUGCUAAACACAUACAUGCAAGUAUCCGCGCCCCAGUGUGAAUGCCCCCAACCCCUUAACUUACUUAGACAGGAGGAGCAGGUAUCAGGCACACCCACCGCAGUAGCCCAAGACACCUUGCUUAGCCACGCCCCCACGGGUGCUCAGCAGUAGUUAACAUUAAGCAAUAAGUGCAAACUUGACUUAGUUAUAGCAACACUUAGGGCUGGUAAAUCUUGUGCCAGCCACCGCGGUUACACAAGAGGCCCAAAUUAACUGAAUAUACGGCGUAAAGAGUGGCUCCAUGUUAUCCAUGUGACUAAGGUGAAAAUGCAACUAGGCUGUCAUAAGCUAAAGACGCACCUAAAACCACCCUCAAAACGACCCUAGCCUGCAAAAAGGAUCAAUUAAAGCGCCACUAAAGCUAGGAUACAAACUGGGAUUAGAUACCCCACUAUGCCUAGCCCUAAAUCCUGAUACUUACCCCACUAAAGUAUCCGCCCGAGAACUACGAGCAUAAACGCUUAAAACUCUAAGGACUUGGCGGUGCCCCAGAUCCCCCUAGAGGAGCCUGUCCUAUAAUCGAUAACCCACGAUAUACCCGACCUCCCCUUGCCAAAACAGCCUACAUACCGCCGUCUCCAGUUCACCUCCCUGAGAGAGCAACAGUGAGCACAAUAGCUUUAUCCCGCUAACAAGACAGGUCAAGGUAUAGCUUAUGAGGAGGAAGAGAUGGGCUACAUUUUCUACAAUAGAAAAUCUCACGAAAGGGGGCUUGCAAGUUCCCCCAGAAGGAGGAUUUAGUAGUAAAGAGAGAUAAUAGAGCCCUCUUUAAACCGGCCCUGAGGCACGUACAUACCGCCCGUCACCCUCUUCACAAACCUUAACCUUUUAUAACUAAUACCCCUCCCCCAACUCAAAGAAGAGGUAAGUCGUAACAAGGUAAGUGUACCGGAAGGUGCACUUAGCUAACC